Molecule: long non-coding RNA, 588 nt
Organism: Manis pentadactyla (Chinese pangolin)
Lineage: Eukaryota; Metazoa; Chordata; Mammalia; Pholidota; Manidae
Exons: 3
Source: RefSeq, a predicted model, not a curated record
AAGAGUUAAAAAAAGAAAAGGACAGUGUAGAAAAAGUUCCUGUCUUCUCUGUGUUGUCCAUUCUUAAACACAUACAAUUUAAAGAAAUCCAGAAAGGGUAAGAAAUACUGAUGUAGUUUUCCCCUUGGCCUCUUCCCUUGAACCCCUCCUGUGAUCUUGCAGAUCUCUGCUGGCUGGGAUCCGAGGCACAUCUCUUUCCUCCCAGCUUCCCUGUCGGCGGGGAAGGCAGAGUUCAAGGCCCUCCACUGGAGUCACUGUGUUGUAUUUUUUUUUAGGUGCAGUGGAGGCACCUGGAUUCCACUCAGAAGGAGCAAUACUGGGAUCUCAUGCUGGAGACCUAUGGGAAAAUGGUCUCAGGAGGCAUUUCCAGUUCUAAGCCUGAUCCGACUAAUUUAACAGAGUAUGGGGAUGAGCUGGCAGGACGGCACUUUCAUGUCAGUGAGAAAAUCCCGAGGCCCACCUGCAUAGGGCUAUUGACACACAUACUUAAUCAUGGAAGAAGGACCACACAUUGGAUCUGCUGCCGUCAGUCUUGUCUGCUGUGAUGUGACAGUUUCUUUCUCAGAGAGAGUAAAGAUCAGAACAGAU